CAGUCGCCGCGGUAAUGCGUAGGUGGCAAGCGUUGUCCGGAAUUAUUGGGCGUAAAGGGCUCGCAGGCGGUUUCUUAAGUCUGAUGUGAAAGCCCCCGGCUCAACCGGGGAGGGUCAUUGGAAACUGGGAAACUUGAGUGCAGAAGAGGAGAGUGGAAUUCCACGUGUAGCGGUGAAAUGCGUAGAGAUGUGGAGGAACACCAGUGGCGAAGGCGACUCUCUGGUCUGUAACUGACGCCGAGGAGCGAAAGCGUGGGGAGCGAACAGGAUUAGAUACCCCAGUAGUCCCUGUCUCUUAUAU
This 301-nucleotide ribosomal RNA is filed under the name uncultured bacterium. RNAcentral's name for it is "partial 16S ribosomal RNA". It matches the Rfam family "Bacterial small subunit ribosomal RNA", at positions 509 to 809 of the family's 1533-position model. The record is from RNAcentral.